Molecule: long non-coding RNA, 1080 nt
Organism: Onychomys torridus (southern grasshopper mouse)
Lineage: Eukaryota; Metazoa; Chordata; Mammalia; Rodentia; Cricetidae
Exons: 3
Source: RefSeq, a predicted model, not a curated record
GCCCCGCCGGCAAAGGUGCCUGCAUCGCAAUACCUGUCUCUUUCUCUCUCUCUCUCUCUCUCUCUAGAACCUGUCCCCAGCUCCCUACCAGGUCUGGGGCGCAAGAGCUCGGUAGCAGCUGCCGGUGACCGUGCGCGUGCGUGAGUCACGCGCUGAUUGGAAUAUUGCGCUGGCUCACCGCGGUUCUGCCCAGGCGCGGUUGCUGACAGAUAGAGCUCCGAAUCAGAGGACCGGGUUCCAGGCCCACCUCCCAGCCUGGAUCCUGAACCCUAUAACCUUGAACUACUCAGGAACUUCCCUGAGCCUCCUUUACCCACCCCAGAAGUCUUGGAUGCCUUGACGGUGGCUUGUUGGUCGACCCUGGGAGCACAGGGCUGAGGAUGACCAAACCUUCUUGACCUUAAAGGUUUGGGGUCUAACAGAAAUCCGAAGGCUGGUUCACACAGGUGCUGUGGAGGGCACGCAAACAGGCACCAUGGAGAUAAUGGAAGAUUUGGAGCAGAGUCUCUCAAUGAACAUGGAGCUCACCGAUUUAGCUGGGGUACCUGCCCUGUGAGCUCCCAGGAACUUCCCAUCUCCUUACAGGAACACGUCCUUCCACCGUUCAGGAGGCAGAAAACACACCUUGCAUGAAGAGUCACUUCCUCUCUCAUGUGAAAAUAAUCAUCGUCAGACUUCCUUGAGUUUCUCUUUUCCCUCCGGCCAUCAGGAAACUGGAAGACAAUAACAGUAUUGUGGCAGGGAUAAGCUUUUCAAGAGGACAAACACUUCAUGACACAUGACAGGGUGACAUCACAAUGAGUCUGUCAUAAGAUGUAAGUGAUGUCAUACAUCGCCUUGUGAUAACAAAAGAAAUGCGGGUCGGCUGAGAAAGGAGCUGAGAGGGUUGUCCUCCAGAAUGAGCUUCAUUAGGAGACAGCCUCGUCACCAUGGCGGCCGGAUGAAGAGGGAGAACAUUAAGAGGGACAGUGUGUGGAGGCAGAAAGCACAGCAAGCCUUAAAGGGAGAGGAGCUACAUCCAUUUAAAACCUGGAGAGGAUACUGGGGGUGGAGGAGCACGCCUUUAAUCCCAGCACUCAG